ACCCUUGGAACAGGGAAUUCACGCAGCUGAAGGGCCAUUUUGCCUGUGUUCCUAACAGCUGAGAACCUUCAGCUGUGCCAAUUUCUCAGUUGCAGAGGCAGAGAGGAAGAAAGGUCCAGUGCAUACUUGUCUUCCUUCCUUUGCAGUCUGUGCAUAUGCUAGUCUGAAAGCAGUAAUCCACUUUACCAAAUCAAGUUAUUUUUAAAAAAUUUUCUGGGAACUGAAGCUGCUGUACCUUUUUCUAAGGUUUCUAAAUAAUAAACAUUUGAAUUUGGUUCUGUGAAAUGAAAUUAUUCUGUUGAGGAGGACGGUUGCUGGUUUGUUCCAGUCUACAGCUGAGAGAGGCUUUCCCACUCAAUCUCUUCUUUUAUGCCAUUUCUUGGAUUUGCAGGUCUCUCUUCUGUCUCCCACUCUUCAAACUUUCUGGACCUCUACACUCUACUUGGUAUUUUCUCAAUUGUUUGUGUGUUAAUGCUGCCGAGAGGGAAAAAUUCCUAAAAGAAGGAGAGGCAAUUUGACUGUGCUGUUUUGUGCUUGCACCUGGGUGACUGGUGGCUGACCAUCCAGCAAGUGGGUAAACAAAAAGCCACAAGCAGUCCUGGAAAAUGGAAACUCUGCCCCUUUAUCUGUUACAAAGCUGCACCAGUCUGCUGAGUGCAAAAAAUGCAUUGUUCAGUAAACCCAGCGAAGACCAUAAGAAGACCCAUCUACUGUCUCCCUACCCUUCCCCCUCUCCUGGAGCGCACAGCCUGCCCAGGCCGGCCCUGCUGCAAAAGGUGCUGAGCCAUAAUCCAGAAGAUAAACCACUGUAAAAGAAGAAAACAGCAAACCAUAGGCUGCAGCUCUUGGACCUCACUUGCUUUUCUUGUCACGUUAUGCUCAGUAUUUCAGACUGGUAAACCUUACCAGCCACAAUUCAGGGAAUGGGGCUGGUGGAAGAAAAGGACAACACUGCUUUGAGCUUCUUUCCCUGUCUGCCCCUUCCAGUCAUGCCCUUACCACUAAACAGUUCUCUUUCAGUAAGUCACGUGAGAGAUCUUAACUGUUAACCAAAUCUAAACUAUUUUUGUUUCUUUUCCAGUAUGCUCUGAUCAGCAGCACGAACCACAAAGAGUGCCCAGCAGAUCCCCAAAUACUAUGUUUUUCAUCUCAUUUUCAUAUCCUUGACUCAUGCAUCCUGUCUAAGCUAAUGUUAGUUUCCUGACUUCAGUGUGUCUGCAGCCCUGGACUGUCAACAAGUGCUGGAGCUAUCCCGUAAAGAUCACUACUCCUCAAAUUUUUUUUAGUCUUCUAAUGACUCUCUCAAAGCUACCUCAUUACACCAAGUUAAAUCUGGAAUCUCUGGAUUUACACUGGAAUAGCAGAGCACUUUCCCCUCCUGUUUUAUGAACAGAAAUUUUGUUGUGGCAGUCUAGAACAUUCAGCUUUGACUUGAUGUCUUGGAAGAAAAUAAGCUACUACCAUGAGCAGUUGCAAUAAUCAUUCCACAUUACACAAUCAUAUCCUGCCCCUUGAAUGAAACAGCCCUAAACAGGAAGAUCUGAUCUGGAAUAGACUCACUACUUUUUGUAAGAUCCUUGCGUCUCCAUUUCCCUGAUAACCUGAACUUCUGUCCAAACUGCUGUUGCGUACGAGAUAGCAUAGCACUGACUUUGCAUUUCUUAUUUGCAAAAACUAAUAAAAUUUAAACAAGCUUUUUAGGCUAGACUUCAGCUUUACCCAAUUCCAACUAGGAGCCCAAGUGGGCAAACUUACACGGAACUACAUGUAUUGCUCUUAUAGUAAUGUCUCCUAUUUAUUUCCAUGGAAAUGACAACAGCUACAAAAAGCACAAGAACGCUAUUUGGUAGAGCAAAUUCUCAGUUACAAAACACUGUUUUUUAACAGUCACCACCAUGAGCUACAGAUAUUCACCAGCCGUGAGCAAUGUACAACGGUAAAUUGUAAGAUGAACAAAAAAAGCCGUGCUGCACUUGUAAACAUUUGCAACAGCAGAGGUGACCCGCUGUUGCUGCUGCCAUGGCUGAAAUGCACCACCUACCACCUCACUAUGCUCACUUCCACUGCAUGGUCUCCAUCAGUGUUCAGCAAGCACUGAUGGAUGUCAAAUGGCACAAUUUUUUUUUCUGCAUGGAAGAAUUCAAUGCCACUCCUUUGCACCCCAUGCACUUCCAAGUCAAAUGUAAUUUUGUCAGACUGUCCCUUUGCUGCCACACUGUCACACAGCAAUAAAGUGUGAUGGAAUAUAGGCAGGAAGGUUCAAACUCUACUGCCAUACCACCAACAUUUGCCUUUGACAUUGUGGGCCAAUUUAAAAUAGGAGACAUUGCUUUUGAAGCAGACCUAGUAUAUGCACCUAAUGUUACAUUCAUGCUCAAAAGUUUCUAGAAAAGACCUCCAGUCCUAUGAACUCUGUUUACAGCACAGGAAAAAAAAAAAAAUUCUGUGCAGCCAUCAGCUUUAAAAACAUGAGUGCAGGUACACAUACACUGUUUGGGCAGUGAGAUACCAGAAGUCUAUAGGAUCCCAAUUCAGAUUUAUUUCCUUAAGUAGAAGGCUAUUCAUCUAAGCAAUUAUUAGCUGAAUAAUAAGGGGAUGGAAGACAGCGUCUCACCUUAGACCACAACAGCUAAGGAUAAAAUAGUAACAGUGACGGUGGCAGCUGCAUACACUAACAUUUUGCAUAGAAAUUCAUUUAACACGAGGCACAGAUACAGAGUUUUCUUUGUUUUAAAUAAAGAAUGAGGCGAUUAUCCCAAGAUGCAGUCCUCCCAAGAGAAACAAACUGAAAUGACAAAAAACCUGAAUGGUAAAUAUGAGGGCAGGAAGUACUAAAGCAGGAAAGUGGCUUCAAAUAUCAAAGGCUGUAUUUAGCAAGGUAUGAGUCAUACCUUACUACAUCAUAAAACUUCUGUCCUCAUGCUUGUGAAAGGAGGUUAUCACAUUUUCCUUCUUCCAUGAGCUACUUGUGCUGAUCUCAGUGUUUAUCCAACCUACUCAUAAAACAGUUAACCUACUGAAAGCAGCUAAUUAGCCAUUCUAAAACAGGCAGAGUGGUUGCACACAGCUCCCAGUUCCACUGCGCUGUUCAGGUUGAAUAAGAUUCAUUUUUCAGCCUAGUGACCUAGUAGUAAUGCUAGAGUACUUGAGGCAUUCUAAACCAGUAUUACCACCAGUGUCAUUGGGAUGGCCACAGUAUGUAGAUGCUACUCCACUCUGUUCUUAAACCUUCCUUUCUCUGUAAAACAGAUUAUCAAAAGAACACUAUUUGAUUUUGAUUGCAAUCUUUCUUAAUAAAAAAGAUUUAAAAGCUACCAGUGGGGCAAUUCAGUUUAAAAUGCAGCUGAGCAAUGAAAAAUAUUGAGUAAUGUAAGUACCACAGCCACUUUUGCUCCAUGAAACUGCUUAGGGUGUGCAACACACUACCAAUUUCUGUUAUUUUCAAACUCUACCAGUGCAAAAUUACAGUGAGAAAAAGAAUUUUGUAGCUUGAAAUCAUGGCUUGAAAUUGCUUGGAGAAGACUAUACCAGAACACAUGCUGCACAUCUGAAUAAUGCAGAUGGAAUGUAAUUGUCCUCUUAUUCUGUGAAAGGAAGGUAUAGCUCACAGCCUGCUUGAUAGUUGAAAGGAAGCUAUAAAGCUGCAGGAGAAAGAAUUUGUUAUAUUCUUCCCAGUAUUUUUUAAACUUCUCUAUUAUUAAACUGAAGCACUGACUCAUCUUGAUGAUCUGUUAAGAACAUUUGUAAUGAAUGUGCGCAGAGUAAACAAGAAGCCUCUUCUUACCAUCUGUGCAAGCACUGAUCACAAUAGAAGAGCCUCAGACCCAUAAUUUUCAGCGUUGCAAAACUUUUAGAAUGAAACCGUGUUUAGCAGAUCUCCUAGUUACAUAGCAGAAGGUGGUCCCAGCUCCUACUUGGCACAUACAUACUUAUAUAUAUAUAUAUACACAUAUACAUAUACAUAUGCAUAUAUCUAGAUAGAUAUAUAUAUAUAGUUCUAGAAGAGGUAAGAAACAGCAUUUUUUUUUUUUUUUGAGCUCUGAUUUUUUACAUUUACUGAGAACUAUACCACUAGAUUUUAUAUAGACUGAUUUAAUAUAGAACUGAAUACAUACAUAUAUCUUAUUGUAUUAGUUUGGUAUGAUAGGUGUGCUACCAAACUGGAUGUGAAACCCACACAAAACAUCUUGCCUAUCAUUUCCUGGAUCUUUAUUUUUGCCUUUGUUGACAGUUGCCUUUAGAAAAAACAACAACAACAAAAAAAAACACUGCUGCGCAAUCUUGAUAACUAUUAGCUAAAUCUGCUAAAAUGUCUGCCCUUUGGCUGUAGAAGAUCAUGAAUUAUCCAUUGAAGAAGAAACAGUGAUUAAGACCACCACAGUUUCAGCUGUGGACAUGUUACACUUCCAGUAACACUACAUUUAAUCAAGAGCCUAUAUUUCUUCUUGGAAACUAUUCAUGUUCUGUUGUAGAAAUUUUCAGCAACUGAGUUGCAAUGCUGUUAUAUGGAUAUGUUUCUACAUUAAAUUUGUUCAAAAUAUCUAAAUAGCUGAUGCUAAUCUUUUAGCAGUUAUUUGUAUUACGAGUAGCAUUCAGAGUGCAAUGUAAAAUACACCUAUAAGUGCACUUGUUUACAAAGAUGGAGGAUGGCCACAUUUACCACACUGAAAGUGCUUAUAUAUUUCUGUGGGUGGUUAUUUUUUAUUUAUUGCUGCACACAGCUGAUGUGAUCGCUGUUAGUGAAUCACAUUUAUAAGUUAUUACGGGAUACUGAUGGCAGUAGCAUAUUUAAGACUGAGGAAAGCUUAUUAUUUUGUAUAUUCAAUUGAUACUGUAUGUGUUUAUUUAAGCAGUAAAUGCCCAAACAAGCCUGAAUACAUAAUGCUGUUUUCAACUGCAUAGUCACACUAAUUUUUAUUUUAAGAUUUGUGACUUUCUCCUCCACAGGAAGCAGCAGCCUUAGCAGUCUAAAUUCAAAGACUGCUCUCAUAUCACCUUAUUAAUAAAGCUGUCUAUCACAGCUCUGCGCUUACUUUUUGCUACAGAUUUGCUCUUUAUUUUUAUAUAACAAAAGGUUCACACAGUUUUAAUCCAUCACCUGCUGUAUUAAGAAUAAAACUGAGAAAAAAACUAAAAAAAAUUGUGUUUAAAAUCAAGUUAUAACUUAAAACAUUGUAGGGAAAACUAACAUAGGUUGGUUAGAGGCAAUGAAAGUUGUUAGCAUGUCGCAGGAUACACCAAAGACUGACCUGUGGUUGGUGUCUGAUAUAAAUUCUCCAUCAUUCAUCACCAAGUUCAGGAGGACUCCAUACAAAAACAAAGGUCCUCAAAUGACUGUUGGUAAAGCCAUACUGAUAAUCAUCUUCUAGAGGAAGAAAAUAAAACCUGUGUAUUUCAUUCUGUAACAAGUGGGAUUUCCUUGGCAAACACAGUUGGGCAAAAACUUUUUAAAAGGGAAAAACAUGUAUUUGCUGCUAUAUCUAAAUUUCAAUCUAGACAAGGAAAGACUGCACGUUCAAGUGUCUUAGUUAUAUCAUAUACAGAUCUAAAAAUUAUUUUAUUAUACCUAUAAUAUCUGGGUUGAUGUAAGAACACUCUGAAGUGGUGCUUACAAGCUUGAACUGAAUAUCUCACUUCAAGUCCAGUAUUGUAUUGUAUUGACAUAGCAGAGUUUGGAUCCGCAUUGUAUCAUCUCUGCACAUAGAUGUUUUUUUUUUUUUGUUUUUUUUUUUAGGUCAGUGAUAUUUUUAUUGGUCCCACACAUCUAGAAACCAGAAAUUCUCACAGCUAAUUUUGUCGUUUCUUGCAUAAUAUACGUUUUAAAGAUAAGAUAGAAAGAUCACAUUGCCAGCUGAUUCAAAGUGUCUCUUUUAGAUAAUCUGAAAGAAGAAUCUAAAUCAGAAAAAGUGUGCCUUCUGCAAGCAACACACCUUAGAUGAUCGUUUUACUUUUUAGCAAAUUUUUUAGCAAAGUAUCUGUUCAUUACAGUAGUUGAAAUUUAAUGUUCUGGAAAGUCUUUAUUUUUCCAUGUAACUUAUAAAUGACAGGGGAAAGAAAUCCAGACUGUUCCAUUUUCUUUUUGUACCUGUUUUACGUAUGUUGUAUUUAUGCAGCAGCCUUCUGCAGCACAGCCCAUCAUGUCACUGAUCAGAUGGCUUCAGCAGCACCAGUUCAACACAUCACAUGGCCGUGGGGGGUUUCUGGUCACCCCCUCUCACUAAGAGGAGCUCCUAUCAUUGGCCUAAUGACUGCAGGUCCGUGAGUUUCCCAAACAACUAAAAAUGCUGAGUUCUGAUAGGAGCUGUAGCUUGACCUCAGAAAAUGCAUAUUUAUUCUGCCCCAUGUAAACCAGCAGCUGAUCACUUCUGCCACCUGAUGCUUGGUAAGAAAUAUAUGUAAAGAUCCCCUCUGCCACCAAAAUCCAUACGGAAGCCCGUAUUUCCAAGACUUAAGACAAUAGAUGCCUGGAUAUGCAUAUGCUCCCAACUGGCUGUCAUACAGGGUUAUUAUGCAGUGCAGGAGCCAGCCUCCAGAGUUAGCCAGCUUCCCUUUGCUUUAUUUACUCAGUAAUGUCAGCCCCAUUCUUGAGCUAGGAACCUCUGCAACAGCAGCAACUGUGACAUUGUUAAGUAAGUCAGGCAAGGGUAAUUACCAGCUUGUUUACAUAUAAAGAUGAUCUGUGAUGAGAAAGACAACUCAGGAAAAGUACAGCAUGAUUAACUACAGGUAAAACACCAGACUGUUUGUUUAAGCUUUCCAUUGAUACAGCAGUAAUUCUCUCUCUCUCUCUCUCUCUCUCUCUCACAAGAACCGCUGCACAGUUUACUCUUUCAGUUUUUCAACAUUUUUAAAUCAAAACUCAGCAUCUCUAUCACAUGCAUUUUUCCCUUCAUAGGCUAUCUAUGUUGCUAGGUUGAGUAGUAGCUGAACAGCUCUCCCAUGCAGACACAUUACAGAAGUAUAAAAUAUCACCACCAUUUAAUGAGACUGGUGAGUAUGCCUUUGUUACAGCUUUUGUUUUAAAUCCAGUACUGUGGCUGCCUCCUAGGGCCCUGAAGUAAGCACUCUUUAAAAAGAGCGACAGAUUUAUUCCUCCACUCUGAAUAAGUGAAAAUGUGUUUUGUUGAAACCUCCAGAGAGUAACUGGCUUUACUAUAGAAUCCCCUUUUGUUUAUGGGCUUGAUGAAAACAUUUGGCAUUUAAUGAUUCCCAGGCUAUUCCAAGUUUAAAAAAAAAAAAAAAAAAUCAAGUGUGCUGAGUGUUAAAAUGUUUUCCACCAACCUUAAAGCAAAUUUAAUAUAAAGACUUGUUUCAGGUAUCAAAUUAGGGUGGAAAUGUUAUGCUUACUGACUCCUACUUUUUAGCAUUUAGACUCAGUAUAAUGCCACACGUUGUUCUUAAAACAGCGUGGGGUAUGAGGGAGACCUACAGAGGUGGCCACCUGAAAUCCAACCAUUCUCCUCUCAGCUUUAGCUUUAUCAUCUGCUGCUCCUCACAUCUUCAAUUUCUUCACAAAAAGAACUCAGAACUAUUUCCAUUUAGAGUAGUCAGGAAUUUACCAGCAGAAAACUUUUAAAUGUAAAACAUAGAUAAUGGUUUUUUCGGGUUUGGUUUUUCCUUUGGAGAAGUAACCACUAACCAGUCACUUCCCACUUAGACAUCGUAGAUUUCUCUUUAAGAAAAGCUGAGGUGUAAUUUGCUCAUCUUAUCCUGCUCUCUAGCCAAUAUAUUUCUGCUUCUCAGCACUUCCUCCUUCUAAGCCACCUCAUGGGCUCUGUUCUUAAUAUCAGUCUUUACUUACAGAAACUGCAAAACAUAUUCACAACCAUGCAGAAUAUAGCACGUGAAGUGCUUACUUAGUUUUGUGGGAAAGGAUCCUAGGGCUGAAUGGCCUUAGAGAUACUUUUUUUUUUUCUAUAGAUGGAAAAGGUAAAUAGCCUGGGAAACUUAUCUUUAAAAACAAGAAUAACUAUUUUAUAUUUUUCCUUUCAGGGAAACAAAAUUUGUACAGAAGACAUUUAUGUUAUUUGCAUGGAUCACUAGGCAUAAAGAUGACUGACACCAUAUAACAACUGGGCAUACAAAAGAAUCACUCUAUCAAAGAAGUGACUACAUACUUUUAAAAUCCAAGAGCCACUGAAUAUUAUAUGCAGCAGAUGAAGACUUCUUCAGCUGGACAAAAAUUCCAGACUUCUAAAGGAGGAAAACUGUUACAUUUGAUCUCUCAGGGUAACCACCUCCUGAGACCUAAGUUCUUGCAAUCUUAGCCUUGUUUUCCCAUAAAAACACAUAAAAAGGGGUUUCUAAUAAGAAACCCAUACAGGAGCUCAGGACAUUUCUCUCAUGCAAUCCAUUAAUUACCCAAAGAAAACCAAUCAUUAUAGAUCUAACAUUGACUUUAGCUUGUCUCUUGCUUCAUAGCAUUUAUUAUUGUUUACUGAAGACAUGAUGCAAUCCUGGCAAACCAUCCAAACCAGCACCCACCUAGUUCCAGCAUGUGUUACUGACUGAGACAGACAGCCAUUCUCCAAGUCAUCAGUUGUUAAAGCCAUUGCAAAAAUCACCAUGAGGUGAUUUUUAUUACUCACCACACUCUUGGGAGGGAUUGCUCCUAAACUACCAGUUACCCCACCUUAAAAUAACUUUUCCUUUCAUGUACUUGGAAAUGCUGCAGCAUAACUGAGGUCAGAGAAAGCAAAAUAAACACCAUCUUUGGUCUGCAUAUCAUUUCACUCUCAUGACUUCCUCCUUUGAUGCAGUUUAAACCUGUUGCCUACAGACCACUGAAAGAUCCUAACUUAGGACUAAGAGAAAUGCAAAAGAUAAUCAUGGAGCUCUAUGCUUAUGAGCCACUAAACUAGCCCAGUUCAUAAUAACAAGGACUUUCCCCCUCCCUUCAGAAAGUACUUCAUGGAGAGGAGCAAUAGGAACCAAAGACAGACACUACAGAAUAUUAUUGCUCUAUUUUCUCACCUGUGCAUUGCUCUGACAUUUUCACACAACAGUGCUCUCAGGGAGAGAACAAGAAGCCCAACUCAGCUUCACUGCACUCUAGAACCCCGGGGAGGACAUCUCCCUGUCUACCGGCUGGAGGAAAGAUCUGAAGGAACAUUGAGAUUUAGCACCUGAUUUGUUGUUGUUGUUGUUGUUUUGUUUUUUGCUUUUUAAAUUAACUUUCCCCUUUUCCUCCGGUUUUUCUUUAUUUGCUCUCCUUAAGUGCCAAAAAAGAUGGCUUAUGCUAUUGAUGAUUUGUUCACUGACAUAGCCAUCUCUUUCCCUCCCCAGUAAGGCAGCAGAAUCCCAGCAAUUUUUCUCCUUUCCUAUCAGUUUAUGUAGCUCACCUAACCAUUGUGCUACUCAGACUUCUAAAACAGUUAUAAAAUUAAGGAUAACUUAGGUCACGGCAAGUUACGUUCCAGGAAGCCUUAAUUCAUAAGAGAUUCACUGAAGUUCUAUCACUAACUAAUGGUGACUAUUUAAGCAUACAAAAGCAUCUAUUACCAUUGUUCCUGAAUAAGUUCAUUCCUUUGCUAGGACUUCCAUCUCUGCUACAGAUGCUGAAUUUCUGUAUGGUUCAUGCAACAGAGGUUACUUCCAGUAACACAGGGUAGAGGGGAAAUUGCCAUAUCAGUCUCCUUUUCUUUUCCCGCUAUGGAAACUAUCUAACCUUACAGGAAAUACAUGAUUUAUGAGCCAAAUUCAAUUCAUUAAAAUUUCAUAAACAAAUAGCACAAACAGGAUAUGAACAACACAGGUUGUACUGAAAACCCAAAGGCAAUAAUAUGUAUGUCUCAGUAUUUUACUUCAUGUCCACUUUAGUGCUAGCUUGGUCCCAGAAACUGAUUACCUAUUAUCAUUCAGACACAAAUUAAUGUGCUCUUCUUCGUGGCAUUCCUCACUAUUUUGUGUCCUUGCAAAGGGGUACAAUCCUGAGUUUUCUUUCAAAAACACAUCCCUGGCUCAAGGGCAGACCAGUAGGCUCCAUUGACAUCACAGCCAUUUUAAGAUGAGGCAUAAGAUAAGGAGGAAAGGAGUUAGGGUGCAAAGUCAUGCUGCUUAAAUAACAGCAACCCAGCUUAGACAUCCAAGGAAUCAUAGCCACUGCUGUUGUUACGUAGUUCUUAUGUUUUAUGUUCAAACAACCACAAAGGAAAAACAGAUGCAGGUAUAUUUGGCGGUACACAUUAAAACAUCUCAGCAAACAAAGGCAGGCAAAAAAAAAGAGUUGCCCUUUUAGGAAUACUCUGUUAGAUCUGGCAGCAAGGAGUGGGAGGAGGUCACUGGUAUGCAUUCACUUGUGCCACAGAAGAGAAAGACAAAGCAAAAGCAGAAUAAAUUAACUAAAAAGUUUAUCUUCUAUUUAUCUUAGGUUUUGUAUUAAGGCUAAUGUUUUAAUGGAAAUUGGGUGAUAGUUCUUUCCUGCACUUUCAGCAACUACUGAAUAUUAUUUUGAUCCCACUAACUGCCUUCUGAGGAAGGUACACACCAGGUGCUUGCAAGAGAAGACUUUUCCUGGGCCCUAUUAACAUUUCAACGCUUAAAACAAAACCAUGUCUUUUCUGCAGCCUCUUUGCCAAGUACUUCUGGCACUUUCAUACCUGAGUAUGAGCUAAAGCAAAACUAUUGGCUGCCUUCCAGAUUAAUGAGUUUCCAGUCUCUAAUGAAAAGACAAAACUGUAAGAAGUGCAACACUCUGCUUUUGAGUUGUUUGCAAACACAUCUGCCUGAGAAGCAGCAGCCAUCAGACUACAUUUGACCUUUAUGAGAUCCUGUCUCUCUCCCCUCCCUCCCCUUUUUUCCCCUUUUUGCCACAACUUUUCCUAUUUAAAAAGAGGAGGAUUACCAGGCUAGCAUUAAAAACAAACAAACAACAACAACAACAAAAAAACAGUAAGAACCACUCACAUCUACUUGUCCUUCACUCUACUUGUUUCCUUUUUCUUCAUUUGGUUAUGGUCAUCCACAGAACAGCAGCAGCUGCAGCUCUGCACAGUUCAGCUGUAACUGAUCUAACUGAGGCAUCAGAAUGCUACUAAUGUUCUCACUGCUAAUUCAUACUGCUAUCAUCAGGGCUUCAAAUACAAAAAUGGAUUUUUGUGAUUUUACAGAUGAAUUUGCUCCCAUCUUGGUGUAAUUUUACAAGUGCUUUUUGAGAAAGCAGUCCCCAAGUUCACUGAGGUAAAUCCCAGAGCACCACAUUAGUCACAAGGAAAGAAGAACCAGCAAAGAGAACAAAAAUAUCUAAUACAAUGGGAACCCUCCCUUACAAUACAGUCACAGAAACUCCAAGAUGCUCAAGUUCUAAUAGUGCCAAGAUAUAAACAGCUAUUUAUGAUCACCUUCCUGCACACUGGCAUAAGUCUUUCUAAGCAGUUCUUUGGGAUUGUCACCCUAUGCCUGCAAAACAUAUUAAAACUAUCUUCUCCUAGAAUUGUUUAAUUGGUAUUAAUUACAUUUAAUGCCUGUUACACUCAUUAAGCACAGCUACUACUCAUCCUGUAUCGGUGCUUUCUAAAACAUAACUGCAGACAACAAGAGUACUGCUGGAUCACUCAGGUCUGCUGCCCCCUUGUAUGUUUGCUACAGCACAACAAAUUCAAGGUACAACUGAGCAUCCCAUGAAGUUAAAGAAGUCAGAGUGCCUAUAAGGAAAAUUUCUGCAAGUAUUAGAAGUUCAUCACCAACACUAAUACACAAUCACUUCAGUUUUUAGAGGAGGUUAAAAAUACAUAGGUAGCACUGAGGAAGUACUCUUAGGUUUGUAUUCUGUCUUCUUCCCACUUGUCCUAUCUUGUAUAAUGCCUAACUCUCCUAUGCAAUAAAAUGCCAAAACUUGGCAGUUACUUCUUCACAGAAGUUUCUGGAAAUAGCAGCUGCAAUAACAGAAGCUGUCGAGACUUUCCUUUUACAGGCCUGCAUCAACCCCACUGAACACGACUUGCUGCAUUCUCUAGAUGUACACAUGCCAGCAAGCUCAUUCUGUUGUUUUGAACUAGGAGAAAAGACCUCUACACUUAUUUUCCUCACCACCACCAUCUCAGAGCUCAUAGAACUCCGAGUUUUGCUGCUGGAAUGUCCAUGAACUUGGAGGAGCCUGGUUUCCUGACAUCAGAAAGCUGUUCUACCAAAGCCACAGUAUGACACCAGUGCAACUUAAAGGAUGUCACAAACUCCUCCAGGGCAGCACUGGCUACAGACAGAGGUUAAAUUUCGUCAUCACCAUGGAUACUCAGGACAAUAUUACAAUAGAGCAUUAGCACUGCUGAUCUCAGGAGCACCAGGUGAAAUGACAGCUAUUCUGGUGUAACAGAAGAGAUAGGAGCAGUAAAUUACUUUUAAAAAUAAAAGCUUGCAUACAAGUUUCCAUCAUUAAAUCGUUGUAGAAUGACACUGUAUAUGUAUUUACAGUACGUCCCUUUUCAUAACCUGUCUUACAGUGAUGCCAGCUGAAAGGAAACACACACACAAGUUUUCCUCAGCUCCCCUAGCCACCGAGCAGCUGUUCCUCUGCAGAAGAGGAGAACAAGGAGAGGGCUCCUCAACGAAAACCAGUUCCAUUACAGGUGGACAUCUCCCUAACUACAGCCCCCAUACUGUGGGCAUGCCCAAGAACACAGAAACCAUGCUCAUGAAAAACACCUAGCGAUAUUAACUCACCAACAGGAAUGGAAAAUGCCUUCAUGUUUUGCCUACACUCAAAUAUACUCUUGCCACUCCAGCUCCAUAUCAAAUACAGAGCAGGCUAGCAAAUUACAGAAGCUGGAGCAGAUCUCGUUAAUAGGUAUUUGACAGAAAGCGCCUCAAUAAUGCACAAAUCUUGUAGGUAAACUUCCUUCUGUUUUGAGUUGAAUGAAUGAGGCCUUGUCCCUUACCUCAGAUGUGGUGAUAGGGUCAACUACCCAAUACCAGUAUCAAAGAAACACAGUAAUAAACAACAGAAGACAAACCAUGUUAGGCCAUGCUGCACAAACUGUAAAUUCAACAACAGCAUAAAACCAAUGAUACUUGGAAUGCUAUCAAAUCAACAGAAAAAGUAUUUUUGCAGUGUUCAGACUGCUUCCUCUUGUGCAGGCUUGGAAUAAAACAGUUUAUUCAACUGUGAGAUCCAGAGAGAUUUAGUAAAAACAGCAUGGAAGGAAUGCCAUCACAGGCAUAAAUUAAGAGCCUCAUUGGUAAACAAAGCUACACAGUUCUCAUCCCAUUAGCAGACAAACUUGGUGAUGUUUUCCAGCCUUAAUGAUUCUGUGAUUCUAUGUUUGAGAAGUCUUCUGAACUCUAGUAUAUGGGGCACAAUAAUGGAUGCAAGAGGCCAGGCUGAUGCCAGGCUUGCUGGGAACAUCUGACCUUAAAGAUGCCACCAGCUGAAAAACAGCUGUAUCAUGAAGCAACUCAUGACUCCAGUUAACUGAGUCCUUAUAGAAAAAUAGCACAUGCCUCUUCAUGCACCUGCAAUACGAACCAAAAAAAUUAGCCAGAAAUACUGGCCUUUCAGAGGUACUCAAGUGAACAUGCUUACAAUAGGAAUUUACUUUACAAAGUGUUGUUUGCCAAGUUUGACAAAGUUUGACUGCCAAAUGCUGCAGAUCUAAACAAGCUAUAAUGGUUGCCCACAUCCGACUUACAGCAUUGAAAUUAAUCGUGUGUUGCUGUAAAUCCUGAAAUCUGUGCUACCUCCUUACAGAGGAAUCCAGAUACGUGGCCCAGAACUUAAAAACCUCUGGAUCAGCUCCUAGUGAAACUCCCCUGAGGUGAUCAGGGAGGCUUUAAUCUUUAUCACCCACCAGGCUAGCAAAUUAGCUCUGAGAGGAGCUCUUCUAGGUAGGCAGAUACUGACUGACAUCCAGUUAGGCACAGUAAUACCACCCUGCUGCUUGGCAGCAGGCAGGGCAGUAAGCAACGCAACAUGUGGGCAUCAGGUUUACAAAGUUGAUUGGAGGAUCACCACCCAACACCAGUUGGGAAGACUGAAAUUCUAAUUAAUCUGUUUAUGCAAGCAAUCUAUUUCCAGCACUAGCAGAUAGUAUUUCAAGAAAAAUUUAAAACAUGACUAGUUGUGUAAGCAGCAUAUUUACUAUACUCAUAUUACCAGUGAUACCUAUGAGUAGCAUGUUUAGAAUGGACUUGAAAACAGAAAACCAGUUCUUUCAGAACCUCCUUAAUAUUUAUAGCUCUAUUGGAGGCAUAGUGUCUACCCUCCACCUGGGGAUAGAUGAGGAGCUGACAGAGAGCUUAUGGGUUAGGGUUAAAAGACACAGGGGAAGGAGACACUGUAGUGGGAGUCUGCUACAGGCCAACCACCUGGUCUGGAAAACCAAGCAGAUGAGGCCCUCUACAAACAGAUAGAAGCAGCUUCAUGUUCACAAAACAUGGUCCUCAUGGGGGAUUUCAGCCAUCCCAAUACUUGUUGGAGGGACAACACAGCAGAGCACCAGAAAUUGAAGAUGUUCCCGGAAUGCAUUGAUGAUAACUUUCUCUUCCAAGUGGUACAUGAACCCAUGAGAAAAAUGCUAUGCUGGACCUUGUUCUCACUAAUGAGGAGGGACUGGUGAGUAAUGCAAAGCUCAAGGGCAGCUUUGGCUGCAGUGACCACAAAACAGUGUUGUUCAAGAUCCUUACGGCAUCAAAGAGGGUAUGCAGCAAGCUUGCUACUCUGGACUUCAGAAGCACAGACUUCGAACUCUUCAGGGAACUGCUUGGCAGGGUGACAUGGGAUAAAGCCCUGGAGGGAAGAGGGACCUAAGAAAGCUGGUCAGUAUUCAAGGACCAUCUCCUCCAAGCCCAGAAGCAUUGCACCCUGAGAAAAAGGCAGGCAGGCAGGCAAGAGUGCCAGGAGGCCUUCAUGAAUCAACUAGGAGUUCCUGGACUUCCUUAAGUAGAAAAAUAAAGUAUAUAGGGAAUGGAAGCAGGAGAAGGUUGCCUGGGAGGACUACAAGGGAGUGGAAGCAGGAGCAGGUUACUUGGGAGGACUACAGAACAGUCGUCUGAGCAGCUAGGGAUCAUGUUAGGAAAGCUAAAACCUAGAUAGAAUGAAAUCUAGCCAGGUACAUAAAGGGGAACAAGAAGAAAUAUUACAGGUUUAAUUAGUGACUAAAGGUCAGGGAAGAUGUGGGUCCCUCUCUGGGAGGAAACUGAAUACCUGGUCACAAGGGAUAUGGAGAAAGCCAAGGUUCUCAAUGGCUUCUUUGCUUCAGUCUUCGCUGGCAAAGGCUCUAUUCAUGCUGCCCAAGCUGCAGAAAGCAAUGGUAAGAAGCUGGAGAAGAUCUGCUCACUCUAAGUGAAGAUCAGGUUCAAGACCAUCUAAAGAACCUGAAGGUGCACAAGUCCAUGGGAACUGAUGAGAUCCAUCCACAGGUUCAGAGGGAACUGGCAGAUGAAGUUGCCAAGCCACUAUUUAUCAUAUUUAAAAGGUCGUGGCAGUCUGGUGAAGUUCACACUGAUCGGAAAAGGGGAAACGUAACCCCCAUUUUCAAGAAGGGGAAAAAAAAAAGAUCCAGGGAACUACAGGUCAGUCAGUAUCACCUCUGCACCUGGCAAGAUCACAGAGCAGAUCCUCCUGAAGGCCCUACUAAGGCACAUGGAAAAUAAAGAUGAGGUGAUUGAUGAUAACCAGCAUGGCUUCACCAAGGGCAAGUCAUGCCUGACAAAUGUGGUGGCCUCUUAUGAUGGAGUCAUAGUGUCAGUGGAUAAAGGAAGAACAACUGAUGUCAUCUACCUAGAUUUGUGCAAAGCAUUUGACACUGUCUGACACAUCAUCCUGGUCACCAAAUUAGAGAAAAAUCAAUGUGAUGGAUGGAUCACUCACUGCAUAAGGAAUUGGCUGGAUGGUUACACUCAGAAAGUUGCAGUUAACAGCUCAGUGUCCAAUGUGCUGGGAUUGAUGUUAUUUAACAUCCUUGUAGGUGACAUGGACAGUGGGACCAGACUCACACUCAGCAAGUUUGCAGACAACACCAAGCUGAGUGGUGCAGAUGACAUGCUAGAGGGAAGGAAUACUAUCCAGGGGGAAUCAGAAUCACCAAGGUUGGUAAAGACCUGUAAGAUCAUCCAGUCCAGCCAUCCACUUAUAACCAAUAUUUCCCACUAAACCAUGUCCCU
This is a long non-coding RNA of Gallus gallus (chicken), 16095 nucleotides long. RefSeq lists it as uncharacterized. NCBI's taxonomy places the organism in Eukaryota, Metazoa, Chordata, Aves, Galliformes, Phasianidae. The record is from RefSeq and is a predicted model, not a curated record. The transcript has 8 exons.